Molecule: small RNA, 28 nt
Filed under: Bombyx mori (domestic silkworm)
Lineage: Eukaryota; Metazoa; Arthropoda; Insecta; Lepidoptera; Bombycidae
Description: ovarian small RNA-13794
Source: RNAcentral
CCGAGAGUGGAGCCUCCGCGCUCGAACA